RNAcentral lists this ribosomal RNA (792 nucleotides) under uncultured Methanosaeta sp. RNAcentral describes it as "bacterial SSU rRNA". It matches the Rfam family "Archaeal small subunit ribosomal RNA", at positions 61 to 858 of the family's 1478-position model. Lineage: Archaea; Methanobacteriati; Methanobacteriota; Methanomicrobia; Methanotrichales; Methanotrichaceae. The record is from RNAcentral.
AAUGUAGCAAUACAUGGCGUACUGCUCAGUAACACGUGGACAACCUACCCUCCGGACGGGUAUAAACCCGGGAAACUGGGUAUAAUCCCCGAUAGAUCUCGGUCGCUGGAAUGCCCCGAGAUCGAAAGCUCCGGCGCCAGAGGAUGGGUCUGCGGCCUAUCAGGUAGUAGUGGGUGUAGCGUACCUACUAGCCUACGACGGGUACGGGUUGUGAGAGCAAGAGCCCGGAGAUGGAUUCUGAGACACGAAUCCAGGCCCUACGGGGUGCAGCAGGCGCGAAAACUUUACAAUGCCGGCAACGGCGAUAAGGGGACCUCGAGUGCCAGGUUACAAAUCUGGCUGUCGUGAUGCCUAAAAAGCAUUGCAUAGCAAGGGCCGGGCAAGACCGGUGCCAGCCGCCGCGGUAACACCGGCGGCUCGAGUGGUAACCGUUAUUAUUGGGUCUAAAGGGUCUGUAGCCGGCCGGAUAAGUCUCUUGAGAAAUCCAGCAGCUCAACUGUUGGGCUUUCAGGAGAUACUGUUCGGCUCGAGGCCGGGAGAGGUGAGAGGUACUUCAGGGGUAGGGGUGAAAUCUUGUAAUCCUUGAAGGACCACCAGUGGCGAAGGCGUCUCACCAGAACGGACCUGACGGCAAGGGACGAAAGCUAGGGGCACGAACCGGAUUAGAUACCCGGGUAGUCCUAGCCGUAAACGAUACUCGCUAGGUGUCGGCCACGGUGCGACCGUUGUCGGUGCCGUAGGGAAGCCGUGAAGCGAGCCACCUGGGAAGUACGGCCGCAAGGCUGAAACUUU